AAUAGUCUUUGGGGCAAGGUGCGAAAGUUCGCUUUCAAUUCCUGACCGGCGGUGACAGUCCGCUACCCUCGCGGAGAGGUUGAACCGAUGGAAUUUCGGUACCGACAGUAUAGUCUGGAUGGGAAAAGACACGG
RNAcentral lists this non-coding RNA (134 nucleotides) under Megasphaera genomosp. C1. RNAcentral describes it as "Megasphaera genomosp. FMN sequence". It matches the Rfam family "FMN riboswitch aptamer (RFN element)". From Rfam's summary of the family: The RFN element is a highly conserved domain that is found frequently in the 5'-untranslated regions of prokaryotic mRNAs that encode for flavin mononucleotide (FMN) biosynthesis and transport proteins. This element is a metabolite-dependent riboswitch that directly binds FMN in the absence of proteins. In Bacillus subtilis, the riboswitch most likely controls gene expression by causing premature transcription termination within the 5' untranslated region of the ribDEAHT operon and precluding access to the ribosome-binding site of ypaA mRNA. Lineage: Bacteria; Bacillati; Bacillota; Negativicutes; Veillonellales; Veillonellaceae. The record is from RNAcentral.